This 397-nucleotide ribosomal RNA is filed under the name uncultured bacterium. RNAcentral's name for it is "bacterial SSU rRNA". It matches the Rfam family "Bacterial small subunit ribosomal RNA", at positions 28 to 429 of the family's 1533-position model. The record is from RNAcentral.
GACGAACGCUGGCGGCGUGCUUAACACAUGCAAGUCGAGCGGUAAGGCCCUUUCGGGGGUACACGAGCGGCGAACGGGUGAGUAACACGUGGGUGACCUGCCCUUAGCUCUGGGAUAAGCCUGGGAAACUGGGUCUAAUACCGGAUAUGACUCCAUGACGCAUGUUGUGGGGUGGAAAGCCUUGUGCGGCUAGGGAUGGGCCCGCGGCCUAUCAGCUUGUUGGUGGGGUGAUGGCCUACCAAGGCGACGACGGGUAGCCGGCCUGAGAGGGCGACCGGCCACACUGGGACUGAGACACGGCCCAGACUCCUACGGGAGGCAGCAGUGGGGAAUCUUGCGCAAUGGGCGAAAGCCUGACGCAGCGACGCCGCGUGGGGAUGACGGCCUCGGUUGUAAC